GAUGUAUUUAUUAGAUAAAAAAUCAAUGUCUUCGGACUCUUUGAUGAUUCAUAAUAACUUUUCGAAUCGCAUGGCCUUGUGCUGGCGAUGGUUCAUUCAAAUUUCUGCCCUAUCAACUUUCGAUGGUAGGAUAGUGGCCUACCAUGGUUUCAACGGGUAACGGGGAAUAAGGGUUCGAUUCCGGAGAGGGAGCCUGAGAAACGGCUACCACAUCCAAGGAAGGCAGCAGGCGCGCAAAUUACCCAAUCCCGACACGGGGAGGUAGUGACAAUAAAUAACGAUACAGGGCCCUUUCGGGUCUUGUAAUUGGAAUGAGUACAAUGUAAAUACCUUAACGAGGAACAAUUGGAGGGCAAGUCUGGUGCCAGCAGCCGCGGUAAUUCCAGCUCCAAAAGCGUAUAUUAAAGUUGUUGCAGUUAAAAAGCUCGUAGUUGAACCUUGGGCUUGGUUGGCCGGUCCAUCUUUCUGAUGCGUACUGGACCCAACCGAGCCUUUCCUUCUGGCUAGCCUUUUGGCGAACCAGGACUUUUACUUUGAAAAAAUUAGAGUGUUCAAAGCAGGCCUUUGCUCGAAUAUAUUAGCAUGGAAUAAUAGAAUAGGACGUUAUGGUUCUAUUUUGUUGGUUUCUAGGACCAUCGUAAUGAUUAAUAGGGACGGUCGGGGGUAUCAGUAUUCAGUUGUCAGAGGUGAAAUUCUUGGAUUUACUGAAGACUAACUACUGCGAAAGCAUUUACCAAGGACGUUUUCAUUAAUCAAGAACGAAAGUUAGGGGAUCGAAGAUGAUCAGAUACCGUCGUAGUCUUAACCAUAAACUAUGCCGACUAGGGAUCGGUUGUUGUUCUUUUAUUGACGCAAUCGGCACCUUACGAGAAAUCAAAGUC
RNAcentral lists this ribosomal RNA (881 nucleotides) under Candida tropicalis. RNAcentral's name for it is "SSU rRNA". It matches the Rfam family "Eukaryotic small subunit ribosomal RNA", at positions 200 to 1105 of the family's 1831-position model. Lineage: Eukaryota; Fungi; Ascomycota; Pichiomycetes; Serinales; Debaryomycetaceae. The record is from RNAcentral.